Non-coding RNA from Biomphalaria glabrata, 57 nucleotides. The record is from Rfam. NCBI's taxonomy places the organism in Eukaryota, Metazoa, Mollusca, Gastropoda, Planorbidae.
UGGCUUAGGAGUAAAGCACUUGGCUUCCGAACAGGUAGUCCCAGGUUCGAAUCCUGG